ACUGAAGAUCUGAAACCGGCGGGUUAGGACGUCAACAACAGCCAACAAAUUAUUAGAAAUGAAGACCAUUUGUGAAAUGAAGAUUUUCAGGUUCCUGGCCACAUAUGUUCUCAUGUAUUUUCGAACGGACUUUCUCUGACUGUUGACCGCGGAAAACCGUGAACGAGGUUAUCAGAGAGCUGCGAUAAGAGAGGAAAACGGAGAGGAAGAGAAGCAGCCCGACGCGGUGUGAAGGAAUGGAAUAAACCCCAGAGCAGAACCAGAGGAAGGAGGGAUGACUGCCGUGAGAUGAAAGAGGGAUAGAGCAGGACACAGAACAACUCGAGAGACCAUUCAGCUGUGAAGAGACAGAAGAAGCCAGAAGAUCACACAAACACCCAAAGGUGAGAUGCAGAUGCAGUACCCAACUCUCACCUCUGGGGGUCACUACUGUCCUGCCCUGGAGGCCUGAGCUGCCUUUCCCCCUCGGCCAGCUCCACUUCCUCUUCACCUGCCACAUGAUCAUCACCCUGUACUUUCCUUUCACUUCUGGCUUCGCACGUGUAUGCCUCCGCCUCCAAGGGGAUGGCGUUCUGGAAGCAGUGUAAAAGAGAUGACGCCCUCCUCGGCCUUCCACACCUGGAAGAUGUACUGCACCCUGGAGCACAGUCUCUGUCGCAAAAUGGUGGGA
Molecule: long non-coding RNA, 670 nt
Organism: Oncorhynchus tshawytscha (Chinook salmon)
Lineage: Eukaryota; Metazoa; Chordata; Actinopteri; Salmoniformes; Salmonidae
Source: Ensembl